AGUGAACGCUGGCGGUAGGCCUAACACAUGCAAGUCGAACGGCAGCACAGUAAGUGCUUGCUCUUACGGGUGGCGCGUGGCGGACGGGUGAGGAAUACAUCGGAAUCUACUUUUUCGUGGGGGAUAACGUAGGGAAACUUACGCUAAUACAGCAUACGUCCUACGGGUGAAAGCAGGGGAUCUUCGGACCUUGUGCGAUUGAAUGAGCCGGUGUCGGAUUAGCUAGUUGGCGGGGUAAAGGCCCACCAAGGCGCCGAUCGGUAGCGGGUCUGAGCGCAUGGACAGGCAGAUGGGAACUGAGACACAGCCCAGACACCUAGGGGAGGAAGCAGUGGGGAAUAUUGGACGAGGGGGGAAAGGCUGAUCCAGCGAAACGGGGGAGAGGAUGAAGGCGCUAGGCUGGGAGAACGCUGAAGUUGGGAAAGAAGAGAAGCUGGUUAACACCCCGCGAUACUGACGGUACCCAAAGAAGAAGCACCGGCUAACUUCGUG
This 492-nucleotide ribosomal RNA is filed under the name uncultured bacterium. RNAcentral's name for it is "partial 16S ribosomal RNA". It matches the Rfam family "Bacterial small subunit ribosomal RNA", at positions 30 to 507 of the family's 1533-position model. The record is from RNAcentral.